RNAcentral lists this ribosomal RNA (623 nucleotides) under Klebsiella sp. TS27N1. RNAcentral describes it as "bacterial SSU rRNA". It matches the Rfam family "Bacterial small subunit ribosomal RNA", at positions 61 to 676 of the family's 1533-position model. The record is from RNAcentral. Lineage: Bacteria; Pseudomonadati; Pseudomonadota; Gammaproteobacteria; Enterobacterales; Enterobacteriaceae.
GGAGAACGGUGCCAGAGAGCUGGCUCUCCGGGUGACGAGCGGCGGACGGGUGAGUAAUGUCUGGGAAACUGCCUGAUGGAGGGGGAUAACUACUGGAAACGGUAGCUAAUACCGCAUAACGUCGCAAGACCAAAGUGGGGGACCUUCGGGCCUCAUGCCAUCAGAUGUGCCCAGAUGGGAUUAGCUGGUAGGUGGGGUAACGGCUCACCUAGGCGACGAUCCCUAGCUGGUCUGAGAGGAUGACCAGCCACACUGGAACUGAGACACGGUCCAGACUCCUACGGGAGGCAGCAGUGGGGAAUAUUGCACAAUGGGCGCAAGCCUGAUGCAGCCAUGCCGCGUGUGUGAAGAAGGCCUUCGGGUUGUAAAGCACUUUCAGCGGGGAGGAAGGCGGUGAGGUUAAUAACCUCAUCGAUUGACGUUACCCGCAGAAGAAGCACCGGCUAACUCCGUGCCAGCAGCCGCGGUAAUACGGAGGGUGCAAGCGUUAAUCGGAAUUACUGGGCGUAAAGCGCACGCAGGCGGUCUGUCAAGUCGGAUGUGAAAUCCCCGGGCUCAACCUGGGAACUGCAUUCGAAACUGGCAGGCUAGAGUCUUGUAGAGGGGGGUAGAAUUCCAGGUGU